This is a long non-coding RNA of Sinocyclocheilus grahami, 524 nucleotides long. RefSeq lists it as uncharacterized. The record is from RefSeq and is a predicted model, not a curated record. The transcript has 3 exons. NCBI's taxonomy places the organism in Eukaryota, Metazoa, Chordata, Actinopteri, Cypriniformes, Cyprinidae.
CUUUGUGCACUUCAAACACUUUUCAUCACGAAACCACAAAUGUUGCUCUCUUUUCUGCCGUCUUUUUUUGCGGGUCUAAAAGUUUUGCUUGCGAGUGAAGCUGUCUCUCAGUGGGCGGUCUCUACCCACCAGGAUGAAAGGCCUUUUUCUAUUGGUCACUCUCGAUUGAAGUCACAGGUCGACCACGCCCACUACUUUCCCCCGGAAUCCCCGCCAGUCUGACAGAAGAGCGAGCGAAGCUGUAUCAUGGCGAGCAACAGGUCGUUUAUUGGGAAGAAGAUUUGGUGUUGAUAGAGGAGGCAACAUCUUCAAGGCAAAACCUUAGACCUCAUUCAACAUCAUCCAAUGUUGCAAUCCCCCUCAGGAGUGAGGAGGAUGUGAUUGGUCAUGCAGCAGCACAGAUAAACACCACAAAGACAUCUGAAAUCUGUCACGAGGUAACACGUCUGAAGUUGUGGAAACGUCAAAAACAGGAAGCCCUGUCUGUCCCUUGAAAAUCACCUUCCUUGGAGAGCCUGUAAAAA